UAAAUUGUAGUUUAAUAAAAUAUUAUAUUUUGAGURUAAAGUUAAUUUAAAAGAUUCUGUUUGA
Molecule: transfer RNA, 64 nt
Filed under: Botryllus gaiae
Lineage: Eukaryota; Metazoa; Chordata; Ascidiacea; Stolidobranchia; Styelidae
Description: transfer RNA-Gln
Source: RNAcentral